ACGAACGCUGGCGGCGUGCCUAAUACAUGCAAGUCGAGCGGACCAACUUAAGAGCUUGCUCUUAUGAGGUUAGCGGCGGACGGGUGAGUAACACGUGGGCAACCUGCCCUGUAGACUGGGAUAACAUCGAGAAAUCGGUGCUAAUACCGGAUAAUUGUUGGAACUGCAUAGUUCUAACUUGAAAGAUGGCUCCGGCUAUCACUAUAGGAUGGGCCCGCGGCGCAUUAGCUAGUUGGUAAGGUAAUGGCUUACCAAGGCGACGAUGCGUAGCCGACCUGAGAGGGUGAUCGGCCACACUGGGACUGAGACACGGCCCAGACUCCUACGGGAGGCAGCAGUAGGGAAUCUUCCGCAAUGGACGAAAGUCUGACGGAGCAACGCCGCGUGAGUGAUGAAGGUUUUCGGAUCGUAAAGCUCUGUUGUUAGGGAAGAACAAGUGCCGUUCGAAUAGGGCGGCACCUUGACGGUACCUAACCAGAAAGCCACGGCUAACUACGUG
RNAcentral lists this ribosomal RNA (499 nucleotides) under uncultured bacterium. Its description in RNAcentral is "bacterial SSU rRNA". It matches the Rfam family "Bacterial small subunit ribosomal RNA", at positions 29 to 507 of the family's 1533-position model. The record is from RNAcentral.